This 460-nucleotide ribosomal RNA is filed under the name uncultured bacterium. RNAcentral describes it as "bacterial SSU rRNA". It matches the Rfam family "Bacterial small subunit ribosomal RNA", at positions 28 to 507 of the family's 1533-position model. The record is from RNAcentral.
GAUGAACGCUGGCGGCGUGCUUAACACAUGCAAGUCGAACGUGAACCAGCAGCAAUGUUGGGGAAAGUGGCGGACGGGUGAGUAACACGUGGAUGACCUGCCUUGCAGCGGGGGAUAACGAGGGGAAACCUUCGCUAAUACCGCAUAGGCUUACACUGAUGGGAAUGGUGUGGGUAAAACUUUGGUGCUGCAAGAGGGGCCUGCGUCCGAUUAGCUAGUUGGUGAGGUAAAGGCUCACCAAGGCGAUGAUCGGUAGCUGGUCUGAGAGGACGAUCAGCCACACGGGAACUGAGAAACGGUCCCGACUCCUACGGGGGGCAGCAGUGAGGAAUAUUGGGCAAAUGGGCUAACGCCUGACCCAGCAACGCCGCGUGGAGGAUGAAGGUUUUUGGAUUGUAAACUCCUUUUGUGGGGAAGAGUGAGGACGGUACCCCAAGAAUAAGUCACGGCUAACUACGUG